UAGGGAAUCUUCGGCAAUGGACGGAAGUCUGACCGAGCAACGCCGCGUGAGUGAAGAAGGUUUUCGGAUCGUAAAGCUCUGUUGUAAGAGAAGAACGAGUGUGAGAGUGGAAAGUUCACACUGUGACGGUAUCUUACCAGAAAGGGACGGCUAACUACGUGCCAGCAGCCGCGGUAAUACGUAGGUCCCGAGCGUUGUCCGGAUUUAUUGGGCGUAAAGCGAGCGCAGGCGGUUAGAUAAGUCUGAAGUUAAAGGCUGUGGCUUAACCAUAGUACGCUUUGGAAACUGUUUAACUUGAGUGCAAGAGGGGAGAGUGGAAUUCCAUGUGUAGCGGUGAAAUGCGUAGAUAUAUGGAGGANNNGCGGUGGCGAAAGCGGCUCUCUGGCUUGUAACUGACGCUGAGGCUCGAAAGCGUGGGGAGCGAACAGGAUUAGAUACCCUGGUAGUCCACGCCGUAAACGAUGAGUGCUAGGUGUUAGGUCCUUUCCGGGACUUAGUGCCGCAGCUAACGCAUUAAGCACUCCGCCUGGGGAGUACGACCGCAAGGUUG
This 550-nucleotide ribosomal RNA is filed under the name uncultured bacterium. RNAcentral's name for it is "bacterial SSU rRNA". It matches the Rfam family "Bacterial small subunit ribosomal RNA", at positions 355 to 896 of the family's 1533-position model. The record is from RNAcentral.